GUACUGGUGGUUCAGUGGUAGAAUUUUUGCCUCCCGUGCAGAAGACCUAGGUUCGAUUCCCGGCCAAUGCA
Trichechus manatus latirostris (Florida manatee) is the source of this 71-nucleotide non-coding RNA. Lineage: Eukaryota; Metazoa; Chordata; Mammalia; Sirenia; Trichechidae. The record is from the annotation of a RefSeq genome assembly.